RNAcentral lists this ribosomal RNA (372 nucleotides) under Scoloplos acutus. Its description in RNAcentral is "partial large subunit ribosomal RNA". It matches the Rfam family "Eukaryotic large subunit ribosomal RNA", at positions 25 to 390 of the family's 3401-position model. The record is from RNAcentral. Lineage: Eukaryota; Metazoa; Annelida; Polychaeta; Orbiniidae.
CCGCUGAAUUUAAGCAUAUCAUUAAGUGCAGGAAAAGAAACCAAAUGGGAUUCCCUCAGUAACGGCGAGUGAAGUGGGAUGAGCUCAGCACCAAAGCCGGCGGUCGAGAGGCCGUCGUGCAAUGUGGUGUUCAGGAGGGCUCUGUCCGUGUCCGGUGUCGGUCCAAGUCUCCUGGAAAGGAGUUCCAUGGAGGGUGACAGGCCCGUGCGACCGAUUGCCGCGCUCGCGGACGAGUCCCCCUUCGAGUCGGGUUGUUCGCUAAUGCAGCCCUAAGCAGGUGGUAAGCUCCAUCUAAAGCUAAAUAUAACCACGAGUCCGAUAGUCAACAAGUACAGUGAUGGAAAGUUGAAAAGAACUUUGAAGAGAGAGUUC